Molecule: ribosomal RNA, 269 nt
Filed under: uncultured prokaryote
Description: partial 16S ribosomal RNA
Rfam family: Bacterial small subunit ribosomal RNA
Source: RNAcentral
GACGGGGGGAGCGAGCGUUGUUCGGAUUCAUUGGGCGUAAAGGGCAAGUAGGCGACUCACUAAGUCAGUUGUGAAAUCCCUCCGCUUAACGGAGGAACUGCAUCCGAUACUGGUGGGAUUGAGGAGUGGAGAAGCGAGCGGAAUUCUCGGUGUAGCGGUGGAAUGCGUAGAUAUCGAGAAGAACUCCAGUGGCGAAGGCGGCUCGCUAGACACAUCCUGACGCUGAAUUGCGAAAGCCAGGGGAGCGAACGGGAUUAGAUACCCCUGUA